RNAcentral lists this ribosomal RNA (357 nucleotides) under uncultured bacterium. Its description in RNAcentral is "bacterial SSU rRNA". It matches the Rfam family "Bacterial small subunit ribosomal RNA", at positions 287 to 655 of the family's 1533-position model. The record is from RNAcentral.
CCGGCCUGAGAGGGUGUCCGGCCACACUGGGACUGAGAUACGGCCCAUACUCCUACGGGAGGCAGCAGUGGGGAAUAUUGCACAAUGGGCGCAAGCCUGAUGCAGCGACGCCGCGUGAGGGAUGACGGCCUUCGGGUUGUAAACCUCUUUCAGCAUCGACGAAGCGCAAGUGACGGUACGUGCUGAAGAAGGACCGUGCCAACUACGAGCCAGCAUCCGCGGUAAUACGUAGGGUCCGAGCGUUGUCCGGAAUUACUGGGCGUAAAGAGCUCGUAGGUGGUUUGUCGCGUUGUUCGUGAAAACUCACAGCUUAACUGUGGGCGUGCGAGCGAUACGGGCAGACUGGAGUACUGCAGG